GUGCCAGCCGCCGCGGUGAUACGUAGGGUGCGAGCGUUGUCCGGAAUUAUUGGGCGUAAAGAGCUCGUAGGCGGUUGAUCGCGUCGAAAGUGAAACUCAGGGCUUAACCCUGAGCCUGCUUUCGAUACGAGUCGACUAGAGGAAGGUAGGGGAGAAUGGAAUUCCUGGUGGAGCGGUGGAAUGCGCAGAUAUCAGGAGGAACACCAGUGGCGAAGGCGGUUCUCUGGACCUUUCCUGACGCUGAGGAGCGAAAGCGUGGGGAGCAAACAGGCUUAGAUACCCUGGUAGUCCACGCCGUAAACGGUGGGUACUAGGUGUGGGGGACAUUCCACGUUCUCCGUGCCGUAGCUAACGCAUUAAGUACCCCGCCUGGGGAGUACGGCCGCAAGGCUAAAACUCAAAGGAAUUGACGGGGCCCCGCACAAGCGGCGAGCAUGCGGAUAAUUCGAUGCAACGCGAAGAACCUUACCUGGGUUUGACAUGUACCGGAAACAUCCAGAGAUGGAUGCCCCUUUAGGUCGUAAUACAGUGGU
This 533-nucleotide ribosomal RNA is filed under the name uncultured Tessaracoccus sp. RNAcentral describes it as "bacterial SSU rRNA". It matches the Rfam family "Bacterial small subunit ribosomal RNA", at positions 505 to 1041 of the family's 1533-position model. Lineage: Bacteria; Bacillati; Actinomycetota; Actinomycetes; Propionibacteriales; Propionibacteriaceae. The record is from RNAcentral.